AGUCACUGACAUUAGAUACCCCGGUAGUCCUAGCCGUAAACGAUACUCGCUAGGUGUCGGCCACGGUGCGACCGUUGUCGGUGCCGUAGGGAAGCCGUGAAGCGAGCCACCUGGGAAGUACGGCCGCAAGGCUGAAACUUAAAGGAAUUGGCGGGGGAGCACAACAACGGGUGGAGCUUGCGGUUUAAUUGGAUUCAACGCCGGAAAUCUUACCGGGACCGACAACAACAUGAAGGCCAAGCUGAAGACUUUGCCGGAUUAGCUG
RNAcentral lists this ribosomal RNA (265 nucleotides) under uncultured archaeon. RNAcentral's name for it is "partial 16S ribosomal RNA". It matches the Rfam family "Archaeal small subunit ribosomal RNA", at positions 718 to 982 of the family's 1478-position model. The record is from RNAcentral.